Long non-coding RNA from Mytilus californianus (California mussel), 1390 nucleotides. RefSeq lists it as uncharacterized. Lineage: Eukaryota; Metazoa; Mollusca; Bivalvia; Mytilida; Mytilidae. The transcript is spliced from 7 exons. The record is from RefSeq and is a predicted model, not a curated record.
CCUAGUUGUAUCCAUUAUCCUAGUUUCAAGAAGAGGCAAGUGGUCAUACGUCGAUUUAUGAUAGGUUCAAUGGGAAAAGGAUGCCCACCUGCUGAAUUACCAUGAUUACUACACAAAUCUAAUAUGAAACGGCAACAUAAACAUCACCAUCUUAGAUACUUAAUCCAUUUGGUUAUUAUUCUGGAUGGAGCUUUUCAAAUAUCCAGUGUAUCUACCGUUGUUUGGAAUAUUACAUCGGAUCCAGUAAUUUUCGGUGAAAGCGUUACAUUGAAAUGCUACGUUCAGUUUGGCACAUGCAACACAAUUGAAUGGAGGAAAUGGAGUGGAGGAGUUUACAACAGGCUGAUUUGUUUAAAUGGUGAAUCAUAUUUCAAGGACAAAUAUAAAAUGAAUUUGAGUAAUAAAAGCCAGGACUAUGAAUUAGAAAUUUUACAUUUUAACGAAUCAGACGUCGGCUGCAACUAUACAUGCUCUUGUGGAUUCAACCAUUACACACACAAACUAUUGUUGAAAAAUUAUAUAUAUUACCCUGCAACGUAUUUUGUGUCUGAUACCCAGGUAAAUGUUGGCAUGUUGACCGGGAUAAUCACCAUGAGAUAUGUUUUCCCGAUUCCCAGCUGUGUCGCAAGAUAUGGUAAUAUAAAUCAUAAUAUGAGUUUUGCUGCAAUUUCACGAUUCAACUUUACAUAUACAUACGAUGAAAUCAAUACAAGGUAUAAAUUUAACGUUAAAGAAGCACGUUGUGCUAAAAACGUAACUAUCAAAUGUAGCCUUGGCCCGAUGAUAUUUGAAGUUACCAAAACAGUCCCUGACGUUACAUCCUAUUGUGAAGAACCCACUGAAAUAAAGCUGCUGAUAUUAUUAGUGAUAUUUGGACUUCUUGUUUUUUUGCCAAUACUGUUUGCUACGCUGUGGAUCAACUGUCUGGUAAAUGAAGAUGAAGACUCUUGUAGUGUGCAUUGUUUUAUUGUUCAUUUCGACUAGUUUAUGGUGCAUCCAAGGAGUGUACGACAAGGAAUGUUGCCUUUUGUUUUAUAUUCUACUUUCAAGGAUACAACACUAAUCUCUUAUUAAUGACAUUACAAUGGUAGAUGAAACGGAUUAAACUUUUUGUAUGUUCGUGUUCAUUAUAGGAUGUGAUUUUAACUGUACAUGAUGUGAUUUUUUAAUUAGAUGGUGUGAUUCUAUCUUUUGGUGUGCAAUCGACAUUACCUGACGUGCACUUAUAAUUCUAUGAGGAAUAAUGUUUAUAGUAAGCACUUGUCAUUAUAUGAUGUGCUAAUUUUAUAUUAUGUCAAUUUUUCUUUAUUGGAUGUGCUUUUACCAUUGAUUGUUUCGAUUUUGUCUUAAAGGGACAUUAGCCACAAGAUGUAAAAAAAAAUAUGAUUUG